CAGCCAUCUUCUUCCUCCUACCGUCGCGCACAACCAUUGUCGCCUUCACCGGUCUCUUCUCUAAAUCCCCCAUUGCUGCAAAACCCACAACAAAAUUCCUCCUUUUCUUCUAAUCUAAACGGAUCUGGACGGAUCUGAGUGGAUAUGGACAGAUAUGCAAAACCCUCUACCAGAUCAGGAAGAAGAAGAAGGAGAAGGGGAGGAGGAAGGUGCUGCGUAAUGGGUGUUCGCGCCACACAUCAAACAACUUUGCACUUCCAGGAUCCUCAGAUUCUUCCUCUGAUUCUGAUAGCAGCGAGAGAGUAUCGACCCCCAACCCCCACCAUCGAAACCGAAGUUGAAGAAGUGAUUUUUGACUUUUGGGGAAGCAGAUUCGAAGGUGUGGAAGCUUAUACAGAGAUGCAAGAUGCAAGAUAUAUGGGUUUUAGGAUUUUUUUCCUGUCUCCUCUUUCUGGAUCUUCUUCAUCUCUGCAAUUUGGGGUUUGAUUGUUCGGUUGUUAUUGGUUUUUGGAGAUGUAUCUGGAUGGGGGUUUGUUUUUGGGUAUGUUGAUGAUGAAGAUCAAGAGAUGAAAUUCAUCUAUGGAUUUCUCAUCCCAUCCACUGCCUCCAAGCGGUGCACCGUGCACUAGUUUGUUUGUUUUUUUCGUGGAGGCAGUGGUGAUUCGGAUUGGGGUUGUUCGAGUUUGGGGAGGCGGUGGAAUUGGGUUGUUGUUUGAAGAGAUUGGCGGAGUGCAGGGAGAAGGUGACGGCGUUGGAGGCGGCUGAGGCAGAGAGAUUGUGGGAUUUAGUGACGGAAUUAAGGGGGGACAAUUGCAGUGGCGGUGUUCAAUGACAGAAUGCUUAGGGGACAAAUUUGUAAUCUCACAUUGAAAUUUUGGGGGACACCCAUGCAUCCCAUAAAAUAGGUGACACUGUAGUCUUCACCUCCCAAUCCCAUCAUGUCCUAUCUAAUUUAAGAAUGUGAUGGAAAUGAAUUGUAAGAGAUGGUAGAAUGUGAACAUAUCAUAAUUCCUCA
Molecule: long non-coding RNA, 1015 nt
Organism: Lotus japonicus
Lineage: Eukaryota; Viridiplantae; Streptophyta; Magnoliopsida; Fabales; Fabaceae
Exons: 2
Source: RefSeq, a predicted model, not a curated record